CCAGACUCCUACGGGAGGCAGCAGUGGGGAAUAUUGCACAAUGGGGGAAACCCUGAUGCAGCGACGCCGCGUGAGUGAAGAAGUAUUUCGGUAUGUAAAGCUCUAUCAGCAGGAAAGAAAAUGACGGUACCUGACUAAGAAGCCCCGGCUAACUACGUGCCAGCAGCCGCGGUAAUACGUAGGGGGCAAGCGUUAUCCGGAUUUACUGGGUGUAAAGGGAGCGUAGACGGUGAAGCAAGUCUGAAGUGAAAGGCGGGGGCUCAACCCCCGGACUGCUUUGGAAACUGUUUGACUGGAGUGUAGGAGAGGUAAGUGGAAUUCCUAGUGUAGCGGUGAAAUGCGUAGAUAUUAGGAGGAACACCAGUGGCGAAGGCGGCUUGCUGGACAGAGACUGACGUUGAGGCUCGAAAGCGUGGGGAGCAAACAGGAUUAGAUACCCCAGUA
Molecule: ribosomal RNA, 444 nt
Filed under: uncultured bacterium
Lineage: Bacteria
Description: partial 16S ribosomal RNA
Rfam family: Bacterial small subunit ribosomal RNA
Source: RNAcentral